Molecule: non-coding RNA, 1448 nt
Organism: Taeniopygia guttata (zebra finch)
Lineage: Eukaryota; Metazoa; Chordata; Aves; Passeriformes; Estrildidae
Source: RefSeq, a predicted model, not a curated record
AAAGGGGGAAUGGCUCCAGCUGGCCAGGGCAGCAGAGGAGGGCAGUGGGAGUUGUCUCACAUGAGGCCAAGCCCAGGUUCCACUCAGGCUCAUGGGGAGUGCAGAGGCAGGUGUGCAACCAUCUCCAGGAGAGCAGGAAUCCACCACAGCCAAGGUCUGUCCUGUCACAUCAGUGGCUGGGGAAUCUGCCUGAACAUCGUGGCUGGGAUAAAUUUUAUCAUCACACCAGUCCUCUUCAUCAAAGGAGUUUUGCUUCGCACCUGAAGUAGCCUGGAAGAGGAGGAGGAAGACAGCGAAGAGCAGGUAGAGGAUCUUCAUGGCUGUCAGCUGCUGGUGGAUUGUGAGGUCCUGAAAAGCACCUGAAAGACCAAUGGUGGAUGAAGCUGGCUUGAGCAAGGGCUGGGACAGACAUCCAGUAUUUAUAGGGCCCGUGGGGUUGUGCAAGUGUGACAAGUCAAUGAGUAACUGCCAUGAACUUUCUGGAGAGGGACUGGACCCCUUAUCACAUGUGGCAGUGAACGUGUUGCAAUCCCCCAAGGGUGAAUUUCCACUUCAUGUGUCAGUAAUAUAAUCUGACCAUCAGCCAAACCUGACUGAGCUGCACUGAUUUUCACGGCUUUUGGAAACCUCUUCCCAACACAAGCACCAGGAUGGGUCUGGGGGACUUGGAAGUCAGUGACCAUUGGAGUGGGGACCCAGCUUUGAUCCUGGAUUCAUCUCUCACUGACAGUUCAUGUAACAUUUUGUCUCCAUUUCCCCAUCCCUGUGGCAAGGUGGAUGAUGUCAAAAGCAGAGGAAAGCAUUGGGAAAGACUUGAGGUGAUGCAACUGUUCUCUGUCAGUUUUUAAACGGGUCUCAGGACAGCCUCACCCGCUGCAGGGGACUGACACAAAGCUCUCCCCCUCCUUCAGUCCUCACUUGUAUCGUAGAAUCACAGAAUGGUUUGGGUUGGAAGGGACCCGAAAGAUCAUCUCAUUCCAGCACCCCUGCCAUGGGCAGGGACACUUCUGCUAGAACAGGUUGCUUCAAGCCCCAUUCAGCCUGACAUUUCAUCCCACAUCAUUUCCACUGCUCUACCUUCAGCCUUAAGGUGCAAAUUCUGACUUCUUUGCAUUCAGUUCGUUUGUCCAUAUUAAAAGCCUCAGGAGUUAAGAGUUCUAACACUCACUAAUAUAUCUAUUUUCUUUUAAAGGGAAUAAACUCCUUCAUAUACGUGCACAAGUUUGUGAUGCAAUGCCAAAUAUUUCCCUUCUUAUUGCCCUAAAGGUUGGGAGAACAAACUGAUUCCACCAGAAUCACAUCUGACAUAAUGCUUUGAAGGGCAACAUCUGGGACUUCACUUCAGAGCAUGAUCCCCGUGGCUGUAAAUUUUAUUAAAAGGAGAUCAAUGCAGGGAAGGUUCUUCUUCCCAAAAUCCUGGACUAAUAAACAACUUAAACACUGUCACA